GGGGUUUGGGCCGUGUCUCAGUCCCAAUGUGGCCGAUCACCCUCUCAGGUCGGCUACCGAUCGUCGACUUGGUGGGCCGUUACCUCACCAACUAUCUAAUCGGACGCGAGCCCACCCUUCACCGGAUUGCUCCUUUGACCCCAAAGCCAUGCAGCUCCGUGGUCUUAUGCGGUAUUAGUACAACUUUCGCUGUGUUAUCCCCCUGUGAAGGACAGGUUGCUCACGCGUUACUCACCCGUCCGCCGCUAGAACAUACCGUUCCAAUUCCAUCCGAAAACUUCCUCUUCACUGUAUGUCCCCGCUCGACUUGCAUGUGUUAGGCACGCCGCCAGCGUUCGUCCUAGCACUGGAUCAAACUACU
RNAcentral lists this ribosomal RNA (361 nucleotides) under uncultured Coriobacteriales bacterium. RNAcentral describes it as "partial 16S ribosomal RNA". The record is from RNAcentral. Lineage: Bacteria; Bacillati; Actinomycetota; Coriobacteriia; Coriobacteriales.